AAUCUUUCCAUCUACAAUAUCCAACCGUUGUGCAUUCUCAAUGCUACUUUGCCUUUCUCAUUCGGACAACCUCCUCUCAAGUUUUAGAAAGAGUUGAGAUGUGUUCAAGGGUUAAAUCUUUGGAGAUUUUCAAGGGUUAUCGAAAAGAAGAUAAAUGAGAUCGCUGCAGCAUAUGAUCUCUUGAACAUAGAUAGGAACAACUUCAAAGUGCACAGAUGGUAUUAAUUCAAUAUACAAGGACGAAUCAGGAAUUAGACUUAUAAAGUUGGUCCGAGUUCCCCGCUCAGUCAAUAUGGUGUCAAAAGCUUACCUUCAAUAUUUACAAGGUCCGGGUACAAGGAUGUUGUUUGAACCAUGCUAAGCCUAUGUAUACCACUUUUGCAGAAAGAAGCCAAGAACCGGAGUAAUUGUGGAAAGGGUGAUUCAAAAAAAAAAAAUAGACAGGGGACCUUCGUUCAAUUUCGAGUUGAUGGUGGGACUUCCAGAUGAUCUGAAUAUGUUCAUAGUUUUGGUCUCCCAGGUCUUAUAGAUUAGUAACACAUUCAACUGCAGAGAAUAACAUAAUUUAGUAAGAGAAACAUGAAUAUAUAUGAAGGGAAGAAGCUUAUGAACAAGAGUAUAGAACUGUCAUCAAGUUUAGUUCAUAAUCAUACACAGUGCGACGUCAAAUAUUAUACUCGACAGAACUAGUGAUUCAGAAGAUGCUCAGCACAAAAUUACAUUACCUUGAUGUAUUCAUGGAAAUAACCGUUCUCUUGGAGGAACUGUAUAUGGGAAUCUGCUCACUAAUUCUAUACCGGCGAACUCCUCUGACGGUCUGACCAAUUGCGUGCUUUAGCUUACAAUAUGUUGGCUACAACACCAGGCAGAUUUCACCAACUAUCUUGAUCCAGGGUAUUUCCAUCUACAGUAUCCAACCUCGGUGCAUUCUAAAUGCUACUUUGCCUUUCUCAAUCGUACAACCACCUCUUAAGUUUGAGAAAGCAAAGAAGACAAUGAUGAGAUUUUCAAUGGUUAUGGGAAAGGAAAUCCUGAGGGAAGAUAAAGGAGAUCGGUGCGGAUUGGUCAACUUCUCAGAAGAUAGGACCAACUUCAAUGUGCACAUAUGGUAUAAUUCAACAUACAAGGACGAAUCAGGAAAUAGACGUACAAAGUUGGUCCGAGUUCUCCGCUCAGUCAAUUUGGUGUCAAAAGCUUACUUUCAAUAUUUACAAGGUCCAGGGGACAAGGAUGUUGUUUGAAUAUGCCAAAGAAAUGUCUAAACCAGAAACAAUAGCAAGAAUAGAUUGAUGGAUCAGGUGAAACUACCUCGAACUCUCACCAAAAACCAGAGUGCACUAAUCCAUUGCAGUAGCAAGAGUAGAUUGAUGGAUGUGCUUUUCAGGAAAGUGGCAGCUGAGGCAAUUCAAUUAAUUUCAUUUGUUUGAGUCUAAGCUUCAUUGCUAUAAUUAAGUUUCUCAAACUUUUUCAGGAUUGUGA
Non-coding RNA from Camelina sativa (false flax), 1479 nucleotides. Lineage: Eukaryota; Viridiplantae; Streptophyta; Magnoliopsida; Brassicales; Brassicaceae. The record is from RefSeq and is a predicted model, not a curated record.